GACGAACGCUGGCGGCGUGCCUAAUACAUGCAAGUAGAACGCUGAAGGAGGAGCUUGCUUCUCUGGAUGAGUUGCGAACGGGUGAGUAACGCGUAGGUAACCUGCCUGGUAGCGGGGGAUAACUAUUGGAAACGAUAGCUAAUACCGCAUAAGAGUAGAUGUUGCAUGACAUUUGCUUAAAAGGUGCAAUUGCAUCACUACCAGAUGGACCUGCGUUGUAUUAGCUAGUUGGUGGGGUAACGGCUCACCAAGGCGACGAUACAUAGCCGACCUGAGAGGGUGCUCGGCCAAACUGGGACUGAGACACGGCCCAGACUCCUACGGGAGGCAGCAGUAGGGAAUCUUCGGCAAUGGACGGAAGUCUGACCGAGCAACGCCGCGUGAGUGAAGAAGGUUUUCGGAUCGUAAAGCUCUGUUGUAAGAGAAGAACGAGUGUGAGAGUGGAAAGUUCACACUGUGACGGUAUCUUACCAGAAAGGGACGGCUAACUACGUG
This 495-nucleotide ribosomal RNA is filed under the name uncultured bacterium. RNAcentral describes it as "partial 16S ribosomal RNA". It matches the Rfam family "Bacterial small subunit ribosomal RNA", at positions 28 to 507 of the family's 1533-position model. The record is from RNAcentral.